RNAcentral lists this small RNA (87 nucleotides) under Salmonella enterica subsp. enterica serovar Kentucky. RNAcentral describes it as "partial RtT sRNA". It matches the Rfam family "RtT RNA", at positions 46 to 130 of the family's 130-position model. Rfam says of the family: This family represents a bacterial cis-regulatory element known as RtT RNA. The exact function of RtT is unknown although it is thought that it may be involved in changing the cellular response in relation to amino acid starvation. Lineage: Bacteria; Pseudomonadati; Pseudomonadota; Gammaproteobacteria; Enterobacterales; Enterobacteriaceae. The record is from RNAcentral.
AAACGAGAAUAAAGCGUGAAGGAUAACGUUGCGUCAGCAACGGCCCGUAGGGCGAGGCGAAGCCGAGUCAUCCUGCACGACCCACCG